Molecule: unclassified non-coding RNA, 238 nt
Filed under: uncultured fungus
Lineage: Eukaryota; Fungi
Description: sequence contains ITS2
Rfam family: 5.8S ribosomal RNA (bases 1-52)
Source: RNAcentral
AACGCACAUUGCGCCCUGUGGUAUUCCGCAGGGCAUGCCUGUUCGAGCGUCAUUAUAACCAAUCAAGCUUAGCUUGGUAUUGGGGUGCGCAUUUUGCGGCCCUCAAACGCAGUGGCAGUCUCGGCAGACCCUGAGCGUAGUAAAUUUUCUCGCUACUGGGCCUUGUCGGCGACUUGUCAGAACCCCUCCAUUUUAUCAGGUUGACCUCGGAUCAGGUAGGGAUACCCGCUGAACUUAA